RNAcentral lists this unclassified non-coding RNA (2382 nucleotides) under Daphnia pulicaria. RNAcentral describes it as "uncharacterized LOC124316345, transcript variant X1". Lineage: Eukaryota; Metazoa; Arthropoda; Branchiopoda; Diplostraca; Daphniidae. The record is from RNAcentral.
CUCAUUGAAAAAGCAGGAGUGUGGAAGAAAGAUGUCGUUUAACGUCGUUAACAAUACAUCUUCCUUGUGUAUGCUUGCAGUCUUGCACGUACGUAUGCGAAUGCGACUGUAAUAUCUGGUAAAAUGAACAUGGAUUGAAAAUGAUCCAACUUAAUUGCACUCAGUGAAGUUUUGUUCUGUACUUUUGCAAGAUAAAAUGUGUAACUUUAAAAAUUUUGCCUUGAGAGCUCGUGUUGCUCAUCGGCCUACAACAUUAAGACAAUCUAGUUUGAGGAUCUGAUUAUCUUUGGAGGCCUAGGUUCAUUUAAAGAUGGCAAUUUUCCUUUCAAAGGUAGGAUUGAGAGGAAUCAAGCAUGUCUUGGUUUGAGAAGCAAAUUUUCUGCAGAAGACAGGAAACAAGACAGAAAAUCCUUCGCGAAAGAUAAAUUCGUCACUGUUAGGACUUGUUCGCUAGUUAAAGACAAUUCCACCACCUUUUAAAUGAGCCAGAAACUCAACAUGACUUUGUUGAAGCAUAAUUGAAACACGUAAUCACUGAAAGCACUAAGCAACAUGUAUUGAAAUGGUUAACGUUUCAUGUGCUUAUCCGCAUCCGAUAAUCCGUCUAUCUAUGCCCGUCCGAAAUUUAAGGGUCGUGCCUUCAUUUUGUUGGAUAGAUCACCCCUUCCCCUUAGACGAAAGGAUUUGUUAAGAAGAUAUUUAUAUCUGGUAUACCCUUAGUAGAAGCCGGCCGCGCCAACUGAAUCAGUUUAAAAUAAAAUGAUCGACUACUCGAUUGAUCAUCUUGGCGAACUGUAAUAUGAAGAUGGAGGUAUAUUGACGGAGUACACAGCGAUUUGCUGCUCUUCCUUCGAUUGGCAUAUGUCAUUCGUCUUGUCAUUUCGUCCCGAGAGGUCUCUUCCCUUCUUUGGUACGCAGAACAAUGUUUCUCUUAAGGCAUCCGAUUGGUCGAUGCAAUCCAUUCCUUCAGCCUGUAGGAUUUUCCGAUGAUACAAUAAAUCAUUAUAUUGAUGGAAUAAAACCUCAACGAUUUUGAAACUCAGAAAAAAUACGAAACCCAGCAGCAACGAAGGCUGUUUGUCAUCGACUGCCUUCAGUCAAAUUAGCGUUGUUGGUAUUGUUAUGUUAUUAAAUCUACUGGGCAUUCACACAAGAAAAUUAAAGAUAAAGCGCAUACUGAUGUUUUGUUGAUUCCAGAUAAAGUUAACAGCGACCCUGUUUAUCAUCAACUCAACGGAAGACACAUUUAUCUGUUGGAAUUGCCAUCGAUCUUAAUGAAACUUCGCACAAUUUGAUGGCCUUAAUAAGUUCGUCCCAAAUGCAAACUAACCCGACAUGCACAGGAUGAAUCGGUUGCUUGAUUGGAUUCCAGACUUGAGCCGAAGUUAACAGGUGAACAAGUUCUGAAAACCGUUUCCAAAAAUCCUUCAGGUGUUAGAGAAGGAAAUCCGUCGAUCAUUUCUCAAGAUCCUGAAAUAAUUCUGCCGGCCGUCGUCCAUCAUCGGAUGGACACUGAUGAACGGGUUCCUCAUCUGCCUUCACAGUCCAUCAACAAUCUAGGCGACACCGAAUCUUUUCCCUGGAUGCCAAUCCGCUCAAAAAUCAGCCGACUCGAAGUUCAAGCCGCUCUCAACUUGUCCGUCAACAUUCUGCCGUUUUGGCUGUGUACCUUUCCUGUGGCUUUUAAUACCAUUGUCCUUUACUGGUGCAUCCGGCUGGAAGUUAACCUUGACACCAUUGUGGUAACAUGGAAUUUUUUUUGGGACGUCUUUAUGCUCCAUAGUAUUUAUAAUCCAAUCAUGUACAUGGUCACCUUUUCGGAAUUCCGGCGUGCUUUUCGUCACAUCACAAAGAAUUUGUCAAACAAAUUUCGUUUUGCUUAACUAAAGUAAUUUUUCAAUUUAUUCUUCUCUCGUUUCCGUUAAUUGUUAUUGACCGCUCAAGUGUCUUGUGCUCCUGGUGUUGCUGAAUUGAAUAUUCCACACGAUCCUGACCUAUUGUCGUCCCCGGCUGUUAUUACAUACGUACGUUUUACUGCUUAUAGGUAAGGUAUUCAUCAAUUAAUUUAUUUCUAUUUAUUCCUCCCGUCUUCUGAGAUUCGAAAGAACUUGGAGAAAUUAGAGAUCAAUUGUGGGAACAAUAUCUGAAUGUUUGCCAUGUCCGCACCAUUGCUCAUGUAACUCCUUUUUCUCUGUUUACAUAACUUUCAUCUUCUUUAAGAUGUUUUCCUCUUUUUCUGUCUCCCUUGCACAAAGUAUUCAUGGUAAACAACGGAUUACAUGUUACGCCAUACGAUGUGCACGCUCCUAAAUCUAUACUAUAAGGAAGAGCUGAACUGACCUGUCUUAUUUAAACUUGUUGAAUAUAAGUCGAAACAAAGCA